CUUCUUCUGUCUCUUAGCUAGGGCAACAAAGGAGAAAGAUCUUUAGGAUGAAAGAACACUGAUUUUCAUAAAAAAUCAUUCUAGAGGGGUUUACUUUUCUCUGGAUUUCUAAUAUGUAUUUGUUCUUAGAUUCUGAUUUAUAGCGGAAUUAGGGUUUAAUUUCAUAGUUCAGUCCUAGUUUGUCUUCCCUUUCUAAAUUCUAAACACGCAGAGUAUGAAAUGAGUGUAGAUACGUAAGGUUAUUAUCACAAAUACGAAGAAACAUAUGGAAGGUGUUGGAAGAAGAUUCAGUGAUAAAUGGAAGUUGUUUGGGUUGCUGUUUUUAAAGACUCAGAAGACCAAAAAGAAGAAAAGGAAGAAGAAACAAAAUGGUAGUAAUUUUUGGUACGGGCGGAUUCGGAAAAGCUAUCAAUUUUUGAAAUCCUUUGCUACUAAUUUCAUGAAAUCGUGCAAGGAAGAAAAGAGUUGCCUGGUAGAUCCUAUCAAAGUGAUUGGCUGCAUCUAAGAAAGGAAGGACACAUUGUGUUGCCAGAAAAGCACAUGAAAGGCUACCUUGAGGAGGCUGGGAAACAUUUGUGCGAGACAAUGGCUUAAAAAAGUGUGAUUUCUUAGCUUUUAGGCAUGAUGGGGGAUACUGUUUCGUGGUAAAGAUUCAGAAGACUAAAAAAAAAAGCAAGAAGAAACAAAAUGGUUAUCUGUAUAAUCAGUAGGAGCGGACUCGGAAAAGUAAUAGGGGGGCUUAUAUAAAGUAGCCUAUUGAAAUGAUUGGGAUUCGUAAUGGAAGGUUUUUUUACUAGGGAUUCGACGAGCCAUUUUGAUUGCUGAUGCACAUUAGAGAUGUUGUUGGCAGUCUUAUUGUGACUAAUACAUAUCUGGUAGGCUGCAUCUAAGAAAGGAAGGGCUGCACAGAAGGCACAAGCCCUUGACCAUACUAGUGCCACACAUUGUCUUGCUAGCAAAGCAUAUAAAAGGGACCCUUGCAAAGCGAUUCUCCGUCUGUAUCUCAGUAACAAAAGCGACUUUAUGCUUAGUUAAGCUGGUUCUUUCUCAAAUAUUUGAGCACUUGUUUCUAUGUCUUCAUCUUUUGCUGUGUAACACCCGAAGUAUCUCUGUAUUGGUUCUUGCCAACUCCAUGGAAUUUGAACUGGUGUCAUAAUGUAGUUGCCAAUCAAUCACAGCUCCGAUUGUGGGAUGUUAUAGCGAAGUUCAUCCACAUUUUCAUUGGGAAAAUUCCCAUGCAUCGGCUUAAUAUCCUGAAAUUGGAUGCUUAUGAAGGGUGUUUGGGGCGGAGGUAUUCAAAAAGCAGUAUUCCGAGUGAUUUUUCUACUGGCCACUUGUUAGAUGGUAGAAAUAAAGCUCCAAGCAGGAUGUUAUUGGGUUCCGCCCUCUUUGAUGAUGAAGGAAAAGCUCUCCACGCAGUCCCAACAUUGCAGUGGUUAUAGAGGGCAACACUUUUCUCAAAAGAUUGUGAAAUUCCGGUUUGUGAAACAAUUGAACAAGACAGGCCGCGUAAUAUGGGUGUCUCGCUGUUGUACAAAAUCUAUCUAGUGGUAUAAUCUAUUGUGGCUUGUGUAACCCUUGUCAGUCAGUUUUUUUGUAUACAAUAUAUCCAUUUUUAUGAAUUUACAGUUGUUUUGAGUA
Long non-coding RNA from Papaver somniferum (opium poppy), 1641 nucleotides. RefSeq lists it as uncharacterized. The record is from RefSeq and is a predicted model, not a curated record. Lineage: Eukaryota; Viridiplantae; Streptophyta; Magnoliopsida; Ranunculales; Papaveraceae. The transcript has 7 exons.